Molecule: ribosomal RNA, 497 nt
Filed under: uncultured bacterium
Lineage: Bacteria
Description: partial 16S ribosomal RNA
Rfam family: Bacterial small subunit ribosomal RNA
Source: RNAcentral
GACGAACGCUGGCGGCGUGCCUAAUACAUGCAAGUAGAACGCUGAAGAGAGGAGCUUGCUCUUCUUGGAUGAGUUGCGAACGGGUGAGUAACGCGUAGGUAACCUGCCUGGUAGCGGGGGAUAACUAUUGGAAACGAUAGCUAAUACCGCAUAAAAUUGAUUAUUGCAUGAUAAUUAAUUGAAAGAUGCAACUGCAUCACUACCAGAUGGACCUGCGUUGUAUUAGCUAGUUGGUGAGGUAACGGCUCACCAAGGCGACGAUACAUAGCCGACCUGAGAGGGUGAUCGGCCACACUGGGACUGAGACACGGCCCAGACUCCUACGGGAGGCAGCAGUAGGGAAUCUUCGGCAAUGGGGGGAACCCUGACCGAGCAACGCCGCGUGAGUGAAGAAGGGUUUCGGAUCGUAAAGCUCUGUUGUAAGAGAGGAACGGGUGUGAGAGUGGAAAGUUCACACUGUGACGGUAUCUUACCAGAAAGAGACGGCUAACUACGUG